This 499-nucleotide long non-coding RNA is filed under the name Zostera marina. Its description in RNAcentral is "long non-coding RNA (ZMAR_LNC003898)". Lineage: Eukaryota; Viridiplantae; Streptophyta; Magnoliopsida; Alismatales; Zosteraceae. The record is from RNAcentral.
UGCCUUUUGCUCUUGAAGUUUACUACAGUAUAUGAAUAUGUAGUCAACUUUUCAGAUGGUGUUUUAUAAACAACUAUAGUAUAUGAAUACUAAGUUAUAUUAUAAACACAAGUUAUAUUAUAGAGUAAAUGACCAGAUAACUGGAUAUAUAUUUGAUAAGCAAGAUAUGACCAGAUAACUGGAUAUAUAUAUGAUAAGUAAAUGCUUGAACAAAUAUAUGAAUAAAGAUUUAAAGCAAUGAAUAUAACCUCAGAUAGUUGACCAGAUAACUGGAUGAGGGAUCUGCGUAAAGUAGUCAACCUCUGUAUUUGACCAGAUAACUGGAAGAGGGAUCCUUUUCAAUUUAGUGUUGUUUAGUUGUUUUUCGAUGAAAGAUAAAAACUAAAGUUAACAAAGAACAACACAAGAGAUUUAUACUGGUUCACCCAAACAAGGGCUAAUCCAGUCCCGACCAACUGUCGGAAUUCACUCGCCUAAAAGUUAUGGCAAAACCUUAGAG